This 364-nucleotide ribosomal RNA is filed under the name uncultured bacterium. RNAcentral's name for it is "partial 16S ribosomal RNA". It matches the Rfam family "Bacterial small subunit ribosomal RNA", at positions 338 to 699 of the family's 1533-position model. The record is from RNAcentral.
CCUACGGGAGGCAGCAGUGAGGAAUAUUGGUCAAUGGACGCAAGUCUGAACCAGCCAUGCCGCGUGCAGGAAGACGGCUCUAUGAGUUGUAAACUGCUUUUGUACGAGGGUAAACGCAGAUACGUGUACCUGUCUGAAUGUAUCGUACGAAUAAGGAUCGGCUAACUCCGUGCCAGCAGCCGCGGUAAUACGGAGGAUUCAAGCGUUAUCCGGAUUUAUUGGGUUUAAAGGGUGCGUAGGCGGUGGGUUAAGUUAGACGUGAAAUCCCGGGGCGCAACAUCGGAAUUGCCUUUGAUACUGUUCGGCUAGAGAGUAGGAGCGGUAGGCGGAAUGUAUGGUGUAGCGGUGAAAUGCAUAGAGAUCA